This is a long non-coding RNA of Rosa chinensis, 4823 nucleotides long. RefSeq lists it as uncharacterized. The transcript has 5 exons. Lineage: Eukaryota; Viridiplantae; Streptophyta; Magnoliopsida; Rosales; Rosaceae. The record is from RefSeq and is a predicted model, not a curated record.
UUUCCACAUUUAAUCUUGUGAAACUUUGUAUAAAUGUGAGAAAAUUUUUAGAUUUAGUAGUGGAGAUUACUUUUGAGUUUAUUGAAAGAUAUUUCAACCACUUAAUUGUAUGUUGAGAAAUUAUGCACGGUGGGUUAAUGGAUGGAGACAACUCUUUUCUCUCUACAAUGUUUUCUACUUAAUUUUAUAUUAAUGACAGUCGCAGGAAUUGAAAUAUAACGCAACGAAACUGCACAGAAUGUCAGCAAUGGCGGCUAUUAGAUUAUUGACAGUGAUUAGUUUGAAAAUAACACAAUUUUGCACAGAAAGUCAGCAAUGGCAGCUAUUAGAUUAAUGACAGUGAUUACUGGUUAGUAUGAAGUAUAUGAAUUAUUGACAUAGAGCCUAACAAAAGUGCUUGGAACUUCACUCUGGUUUUUUUGACGUCUAUGUGCAAGUUCUUGAUCCAACGGAUAAGAAUGCUUAAAUUUUUGUGCAAUUACACAUCAACCUGCAAGCUGACUUUUAGAUCAGCAAAAUCUCUAUGCCUCCUUUCUCCAACAGCCUCAUCUCUGUUGUUUCCACAUUCAAGUGUUUAUUCUCAUAUAUGCUUUGAACAACUCCAUUGUAUAUGUUGCAGAAAGCCAAUAGUUGCAAAUCAUAAUCACAUGUUGUUUAGUUUGAGUUAUUGAAUAAUAUGUUAAGAAAGUGCUUGGAACUUUUCUGGAGUUUCUUCUUUUUUAUCUUUGCAUGCCACCAAGAGUAUUGUCCCGAGAUAAGAAGUUCCUAAUUUUUGUGGAAAUCUUUUGAGAAAUGGACUUCUUGGAGAAUUACUAUGGGACAGGAAUUUAGCUAUCCAUACUCCAACUAUAGGUGCUUUUUACAAAGAGAGGCUCUGCAGUACAAAAGUCCUUGUUGUUCUUGACGACGUGAACCAUUCAAGCCAAUUAACAUUUUUACUUGGAGAAGUUUCAUUUGGAACAACUCGAGAUCUAGUGAAGGAAGUAGCUGGCCAUGAUGUUAAGAUAUACGAGGUGGAGGAAUUAAAUGGUGUUGAGUCUCUUCAGCUCUUCCAUUCAAAUGCUCGCACACAUUCUACAGAAAAUCCAGAACUUUUAGAGCAGGUGGCAGAUCAUGCUGCAGGAGUUCCAUUAGCCCUUAAAAUUUUGAGUUCAUUAUUCCUUCAAUGCCAGAGCAAAGAAGAACAGGAACUUUUGUGGAGAAAUUGAAAAGGUUUCCUGAUGAUGACCUUCAAAAUGUGUACGGAGCAAGUUUUGAUGGAUUAAAAGGAAAUGAGAAGGAGAUAUUCCUUGAUAUAGCAUGUUUUCACAAAAAGGAGAAACUCUGUGAUGCAAAAAGAAUGUUAGCUGCCUGUGGUUUAUUUCCGGAUGUUGGAAUUAAAAUUCUCACUGAUAUGUUUCUCAUAUCAAUUAAAGACAACUGCAUACGGAUGCACGAUGUGAUCCAAGAAAUGGGUUGGGAGAUAGUCCGAGAAGAAUGUACUGAAGAGCCAGGAAAACGCAGUAGGUUGCACAAUGGUGAGGACGGCUGUCAUGUAUUGAAAAGGAAAAUGGGAACUGCCAAAGUACAAAGCAUUUCCAGCAGGAAUUGUGUUAACACAGUAAUGUUGGAUCCUCAACCAACAUCUUGAUGACAAGGCAAAUCUAGAGUAUCUGCCUGAUGCCCUUCAAUAUCUUUUUUGGCAUAGUUGCCCUUUGAAAUCUUUUCCAUCAAAGUUUUCUCCAAACAAUCUUGUUGAGCUUCAUAUGUCCUAUAGCAAACUCAAGAGAAUUUGGAAUAAAGGCCAGAAUCCUGAUAAGUUGAAAAGGAUCGAUCUUAGUUUCUCCAUUUUCCUGGCCGAUGUUGGAGAGCUGUCAAAUAGUGUAAACAUUGAGAGUAUAAAUCUUCUAGGCUGUAGUAGUUUGGUUCAAGUUCCGGAUUUGUCAAAGUGUGUAUACAUUAAGAGUAUAAAUCUCCUAGGCUGUGCAAGUUUGGUUCAAGUUCCAGACCUGUCAAAGUGUAAACAUUGAGAGUAUAAAUCUUCAAAGCUGCGCAGAUUUGGUUCAAGUUCCUUCAUACUUUCAAAAGUUUACCAAGCUUACUUAUCUGAAUUUGGGAUGUUGCUCGAAGAUUAGUGUUCUACCAAAGUUACCAAGCAAGAUGGAGUUCUUAGAUUUAAGUGAAACUGCAGUAGCAGAAUUGCCUCCAUCAAUUUGUUCUCUUGAAAAACUUCUUAAAUUGAAUCUUCAUGGAUGCAGUUCCAUUAAAUAUCUUUCGAGCAGUCCAUGGAAGAUGAAAUCCCUGAAUUAUCUUUCUUUGAGCAAGACAUAUAUAGAAACGGUGCCCUCGUCAUCGUUCAAGUGUAUGAUUGGGCUCAUUUCAGUUGACCUGAGUGAUUGUCAUUGCCUCGUCAGUCUCCCAACCGACAUUUGUGAGUUGAAAUCUCUUCAGAGACUUGAUCUCUCUCGUUGCUGUUGUUUCACAAAAUUUCAAAAUUGUGGAGCCUAUGGAACAUCUGCAGUAUCUUAAUUUAAGAGAGACGAAAAUUGAAGAGCUGCCGUCAUUGGUUGGGAAUCUUGUUGGGCUUAAGACAUUAGAUUUAUCUCACUGCACAAGCCUUGAAUUACUCCCAAACAGCUUCUACAAUUUAAACCUUCUGGAGUGGUUCUCACUUGAACGCUGUUACAAGCUAAACAAAUUGCCUCUCUCGUUCAUUUUGUGCUCUUUGGUAAAUCUAAACCUCGGAAGCUGCAAAUUGUUGAAGAGAUUCCCGAUUGCUUUACUAGCUUUCCCGCACUGCAAGUGUUAGAUCUAAGUCACACCAUGAUUGAGACCAUACCUCCCAGCAUCAAACAAGUUUCAAGGCUCAAGCAUCUGUUCCUAGAUGGUUGCGAGUGGCUUCAAUCUUUGCCAGUGCUCCCAUGUCUUCUGAAAAAUUUGGGUGCAAGUGUACGAGACUUAAGACUGUGUCGGUUUCAGUGACUGCACAGACAGAAGGUUUGGAUCAAAUAGUUUCUGAGAAAAAGAGGACCGAGAGACGUACAUAUUAUGGUUGCGAUAGUUUGUAUAAAAAUGCAAGGAGUAACAUAAUGGAUGAUGCACACUUCAGAAUUAUGCGAAUGGCAGCUGCUUGUAAUCUUAAACGUUUAUCAUCUGGUAAAGUAGAGUUAAUGUGUCCGGGACUAAAUGAAAUUCCGAAAUGGUUUAGCUGUCAAAUGGAGGGAUAUUCAAUGAAUAUUAAGCUUCCUCUAUAUUGGUCUGAUGAUUCAAACUUCUUGGGUAUUGCUCUCUGCUCCAUUUCUGCAAUCCAUGAAGAUCUCCAUCAUCCUGAGUAUCAAUGUGAGAUGAUUCUCAAAACCAACAAUGGUGAAACCCAUAGUGUCAAUUUGGGAAGUAGCGAGCGCUUCGAGACUAUGGACCUUAAGGGUGAAACAGAUCACGUGUUUGUGUGGUAUAAUAAUAGUCCAUGAAAUUUCAGAUGAAGCAAAAUGGUCUUUGGAAGCCUCUUUUGACUUCUAUAUAGAACAGAAUCGUGAACGGUCAAAUAACGUGAAAAGGUGUGGGGUCUGCUUUCUGUAUGCCCAAGGCCAAGAUGAUGAUGCUCUGAAAUCUGAAGUCAUUCGUCCACAACAACUUACUACAACUAGGAGACGCCGCGGCCGCUUUGAGGAUUAUGCUAGUGGAAGUCAACUGUUUUGUCACUGCUUUGAGGAUGAUGCUGGAAGUGAAACUUAUGGUGAGUAUGAUAGUGUCAAUAUUCAAACAGUUCCCUCAUCAUCAUUCAUGUGUAUGACUAGGAUCAUUUCACUUGACCUGAGUCUCAGCCUCCCAACCGACAUUUGUAAGUUGAAAUCUCUCGAGAGACUUAAUCUCUGGUUGCCGUAGAUUCACAAAAUUUCCGGAAAUUGUGGAGCCUAUGGAACAUCUUCAGUAUCUUAAUUUAAGUCCGACGAACAUUAAAAAGCUACCCUCAUCGAUUGGGAAUCUUGUUGGGCCUAAGAUACUAAUUUUAACUUCCUGCAAAAGCCUUGAAUUACUCCCAGAUAGCUUCUACAAUUUAAAUCUUCUCAAGUGGUUCUCACUUGAGGGCUGUGUCAAGCUAGAAAAAUUGCCCGUCUCCUUCAUUUUGCGCUCUUUGAUAAAUCUGAGCCUCAGAGGCUGCAUAUUGUUAGAAGAAAUUCCUGAUUGCUUCAAUAGCUUUCCCACAUUGCAAGUCUUGGAUUUCAGUGAAACCAUGAUUGAGACCAUACCUCCCAGCAUCAAACAAGUUUUUGGGCUCAAGUCUCUGCUACUAGAUCAGUGCAAGCGGCUUCAAUCUUUGCCAGUGCUCCCAUGUCUUCUAGAAGAGUUUGAUACAGGAGAGUGCUGGAGACUUAAGACAGUGCCAGUUUCAGUGACUGCACAGACACAAGGUCUAGAUCAAGUACUGUCUGGGAAGAGGUACGAGAUUCAUUCAUUUGUUGGUUGCGUUAAUUUGGAUAACAAUUCAAGGAGCAACAUAAUGGAUGAUGCACACAUCAGAAAUUCAGAAUUAUGCGAAUAGCAACUGCUUGUAAUCUUAAACGUUUAUCAUUUGGUAAAGUAGAGGUAAUAUGUCCGGGAAAUGAAAUUCCAAAAUGGUUUAGCUGUCAAACGGAGGGACCUUUAAUGAAUAUUAAGCUUCCUCUGCAUUGGUCUGAAUGUCUGAAGAUUCAAACUUCUUGGGUAUUGCUCUCUGCUCUAUUGCUGCAAUCCAUGAAGAUCUCCAUCAUCCCAAGUAUCAAUGUGAGAUGAUUCUCAAAACCAACAAUGGUGAAACCCAUAGUGUCAAUUUGGGAAGUAAAGCGCGCUUCAGAACUAUGGAG